GAUCUGAUGGUGUAAUGGUUAACACGCCUGCUUUCAAUAUUGUGGUAAUACAAUGGUUCAGCAGGAGGUCCCGGUUCGAUUCUGGGUCAGGUCA
Molecule: non-coding RNA, 94 nt
Organism: Mycena alexandri
Lineage: Eukaryota; Fungi; Basidiomycota; Agaricomycetes; Agaricales; Mycenaceae
Source: the annotation of a GenBank genome assembly